AGUAUAAGUAAGGAAUCUACCCCAAAGUGAAGGACAUCUCGUCGAAAGACGGGGUAAUCCUGCAUACCCCCGUAAGGGGAAAGGGCUUAACUGCCCGCUUUGAGAGGAGCCUUACUCCUAUCAGCUUGUUGGUGGGGUAAUAGCCUACCAAGGCUAUGACGGGUAGCUGGUGUGAGAGCAUGUCCAGCCACAAUGGCACUGAGACACGGGCCAUACACCUACGGGUGGCAGCAACCGGGAAUCGUCGGCAAUGGGCGAAAGCCUGACCGCGCGACGCCGCGUGAAGGAUGAAGCCCUUCGGGGUGUAAACUUCUUUUUGCCCCGCCAUAUGGCGGGGAGAAUAAGCGCCUACUAACUACGUGCCAGCAGUCGCGGUAAUACGUAGGGCGCAAGCGUUAUCCGAAUUUACUGGGCGUAAAGGGUCGCGUAGGCGGUCUACCGCAUCUUACCUGAAAUGGCGAGGCUUAACCUCGUCUGGUGGUAAGAGAUGGGCAGACUUGAGGUUCGGCGGGGUUUCUGGAACUUCCGGUGUAGCAGGAAAUGCGUUGAUAUCGGAAGGAACACCGAGAGCGAAGGCAGGAAACCAGUCGACACCUGACGCUGAGGCACGACAGCUAGGGGAGCGAAGCAGAUUAGAGACCUGCGUAGUCCUAGCCGUAAACGCAUGAGUGCUAGUUGCCCGGCCGCAAGGCUGGGUGACGCAAGCUAACGCGUUAAGCACUCCGCCUGGGGAGUACGGUCGCAAGAUUAAAACUCAAAGGAAUUGGCGGGGACCCGCACAACCGGUGGAGCAUGUGGUUUAAUUCGAGACGAAGCGAAAGACCUCACCACGGUUUGACAUCUUAACGUUUAUUCUGAUGGAAACAUCGGGAAAUCCGCAAGGAUGUUAAGAAAGCUGCUGCAUGGCUGUCGUCAGCUCGUAUCGUGAGAUGUUCCCUUAAGUGGGGUAACGAGCGCAACCCUUGCCGUUUGUUAAAUACUCAAACGGGACGGUCCCGACGUUUGUCGGGAAGGAAGGUGGGGACGACGUCAAGUCAGCACGGCGCCUAUGCCGUGGGCCACACACAUCCUACAAUGGCGAAAAACAACGAGUCGCAAGAGGGUGACCUUAAGCAAAUCUCUGAAAUUUCGCCUCAGUUGGGAUUGGAGUCUGCAACUCGACUUCAUGAACACGGAAUCGGUAGUAAUCGCGGAUCA
This 1197-nucleotide ribosomal RNA is filed under the name uncultured bacterium. RNAcentral's name for it is "bacterial SSU rRNA". It matches the Rfam family "Bacterial small subunit ribosomal RNA", at positions 109 to 1351 of the family's 1533-position model. The record is from RNAcentral.